UUUUUUUUAUUUUAAGACAGGGUCUCACUGUGUUGCCCAGGCUGGUCUCCAACUUCUGGGGUCAAGCGAUCCUCUUGUCUCAACCUUCCAAGUAGCUGGGACUACAGACAUUCCGCCACCAUGCCUAGCUAACAAAGGGUAUUUUAAGGGUGAAGAGAUAAAUAGGUGGGGUGAGGUCUGAAAGGAUUCCCAGCACAGGAGCUUCUGUCCCUGUGGGUGGGUUGGGGAACUGAUUCUUGUUCACCUUCCUGUCAGCCUCCACAUUCAGUUCUCUAGAAACUCCCCAAACCCUGUCCUCUUGGGCAUUUUAUGGAGAUGUCAUUGGAUAGGCAUGAUUGAAACGUGGACAACCGUGUUGAAAUGUGAUUGGACAAAAAAGGUGUGAUCUAAACCCAGCAAGACCUGACCAGGUUCUUCGGGCUUCUCUGUACAGCAUUCCUUAUCCCAGGGUAUGGCGCAGGACCCCCUCUGGAAUAAGAGUCUUAUGACCCACAGUCAGAUCUUAGAGUCUAGCUUUGGGCAGGUGAAAGGAUGGCAGAAGGUCAGAGAGAGAGAUUCUGUUUACUGUAGUAAGGGCUAUGGGAGUUAUGAGCCAGGGACCCUGGACAAAAACACACAUAUAUGUCAUCACAGUUGGACUUCAUCAAAAUGAGUAACUCUGAACGAUAUCAUGGAGAAAAUGAAAAGGCAAGCCACAGACUGGGAGGAAAUACUACAAAUGUAUAUUUAAUAAAGGACUCAUAUUUAGGAUAUAUAAAGAACUCAUAACUCAGCCAGAAACCAAACAGCCUGCUUCAUUAUUAUUAUUUUGAGAUGGAGUUUCGGUCUUGUUGCACAGGCUGGAGUUCAGUGGUGCG
Molecule: long non-coding RNA, 857 nt
Filed under: Pan troglodytes (chimpanzee)
Lineage: Eukaryota; Metazoa; Chordata; Mammalia; Primates; Hominidae
Description: long non-coding RNA NONPTRT003113
Source: RNAcentral